GUGGGAACCACCUGACCCCAUGCCGAACUCAGCAGUGAAACCGCUCAGCGCCGAUGGUAGUGUGGGGUCUCCCCAUGUGAGAGUAGGUCAUCGUCAGGC
Molecule: ribosomal RNA, 99 nt
Filed under: Billgrantia kenyensis
Lineage: Bacteria; Pseudomonadati; Pseudomonadota; Gammaproteobacteria; Oceanospirillales; Halomonadaceae
Source: RNAcentral